GGAGUUAAUUCAUAUUAGUGAUAUGCCUUUUUUUUUUUGCGAACAAUAUUUGUGGUAUGCAACAGUUUUAAGAAUUGUCAGUUUUUUGUAGUAUUGCAAAAAAAAUAUGGGUCUGUCUAAGACACAGUUAUGUCACAUCUAACCUGAUGUCCAUUAUGUUUGUGGUCUAUUUUUUUUAUCAUAACUUUUUUUUUGUUCUUUGUUGCUGCGUUAUUUGUGGGAGUUUAGAUGUGACAUCCUUAGAAAACAUCUAGAUGUGAAUUAGACAAACUGAAAAAAAAUAUAAUACGUUUGAGGCACAUGGUGAAACCAAUUGCAUAUAUAUAUUUUUUGAUUCUAUAUAUGCUUACAUGCAGCUGAAUGUUCUUGUCCUUGCGUACCGAGUAAAUAAGAAGCUAAACAUCUUAGAAAGUCCAGCCUAUCAUUGUACUCCCUCCGUUCCAAAUUAGUUGACUUGAAUUUGUCUAAAUAUGAAUAUAUCUAUACUUGUUUAGUGUCUAGAUACAUCCGUAUCUAGAUAAAUAUGGGUCAAGUAAUUUGGAACGAAGUACAUGAGAACGUAUCUGGUGAAACGACUGAAUUGGUGCACCAGAUGCACCAGCUAUGUAUGGGCCGCUGGAUUCGAAAGAAAGGGACAUGAUUCAGUGCGAUGAUGGGCCUGAUGGUACAUUUGCAGACCAGUCCUUGCAGCUCAGCUAAAUCCAACGAAUUGGCCUCCCCGUACUCAGAUCGUCUUCCUCCCCUUUGCCAGAUUCUGUACCAGUACAUCCUCCUGGAGCUAGGGUUAAGGUCCAGCGAGCUCAAAGAUGGAUCUCAGGCCGUCUCUCCCUCUUCUGUACCACUCAGGCGAAUUAGGGUUAUUAAAUUUCGACGAUCUCUCUCAACAAUCCGCCGCCGCCGCCGUCAGCACUAUCCAUCGACAGCUGCUCAAGGAUGUAGGUCAUUAUGGAGUCUCAUUGCCUGGAGCCGGUAAAUCUGUUGAAGAGGCUGAGCUAUGACUGGGUAAUCUUCAGAGGAGUCAUCUUCAUAGGUCUCCAAGAUGGCAUUGAUGAAACUGAUAAUUUCACCUCUAGUACUAGUCUAGAUCGUGUAUGGUUGUCUCAGGCAGUCAGGCUUCAGUUUUUGUAGCACCAUGUAAUCAUCAAGAAUGUACAUUUGCUAGAAAAUCUUGUAUGCAGGUUUUCUGUAGUUUACAUGAGUGGUUGUUGUAUAAUAUGCAGAUGCUUGUGUUGUUCCGAUGUGAAAAACGUGAUGUUCUUGCAUAGAAGCAUCUAAAGAAAAUGUAUUCAGAUAUCCUUUUGUUGUUACCGGUA
Molecule: long non-coding RNA, 1313 nt
Organism: Aegilops tauschii subsp. strangulata
Lineage: Eukaryota; Viridiplantae; Streptophyta; Magnoliopsida; Poales; Poaceae
Source: RefSeq, a predicted model, not a curated record